RNAcentral lists this small nuclear RNA (22 nucleotides) under Arabidopsis thaliana (thale cress). Its description in RNAcentral is "snRNA_17243". The record is from RNAcentral. Lineage: Eukaryota; Viridiplantae; Streptophyta; Magnoliopsida; Brassicales; Brassicaceae.
GGAAGCCGGGUUACGGUGCCCA